GGUUAAGCGACUAAGCGUACACGGUGGAUGCCCUGGCAGUCAGAGGCGAUGAAGGGCGUGCUAAUCUGCGAUAAGCGCCGGUAAGGUGAUAUGAACCGUUAUAAC
RNAcentral lists this ribosomal RNA (105 nucleotides) under Salmonella enterica subsp. enterica serovar Infantis. RNAcentral's name for it is "partial 23S ribosomal RNA". It matches the Rfam family "Bacterial large subunit ribosomal RNA", at positions 1 to 104 of the family's 2925-position model. RNAcentral also lists the same sequence under 99 other names. The record is from RNAcentral. Lineage: Bacteria; Pseudomonadati; Pseudomonadota; Gammaproteobacteria; Enterobacterales; Enterobacteriaceae.